This 505-nucleotide unclassified non-coding RNA is filed under the name uncultured Glomeromycotina. RNAcentral's name for it is "SSU rRNA". It matches the Rfam family "Eukaryotic small subunit ribosomal RNA", at positions 591 to 1092 of the family's 1831-position model. Lineage: Eukaryota; Fungi; Glomeromycota. The record is from RNAcentral.
CCAAUAGCGUAUAUUAAAGUUGUUGCAGUUAAAAAGCUCGUAGUUGAAUUUCGGGAUUGACACAUCGGUCGUGCCUUAAGGGGUAUGAACUGGUGUAGUCAAUUUCUCACCUUCUGGAGAACCGCAAUGCCCUUAAUUGGGUGUCGCGGGGAACCAGGACCUUUACUUUGAAAAAAUUAGAGUGUUUAAAGCAGGCAUUUUGCUUGAAUACAUUAGCAUGGAAUAAUAAAAUAGGACGGAUGAUUCUAUUUUGUUGGUUUCUAGGACCACCGUAAUGAUUAAUAGGGAUAGUUGGGGGCAGUAGUAUUCAAUUGUCAGAGGUGAAAUUCUUGGAUUUAUUGAAGACUAACUACUGCGAAAGCAUUUGCCAAGGAUGUUUUCAUUAAUCAAGAACGAAAGUUAGGGGAUCGAAGACGAUCAGAUACCGUCGUAGUCUUAACCAUAAACUAUGCCGACUAGGAAUCAGACGAUGUUAAUUUUUUAAUGACUCGUUUGGCACCUUACG